GACGAACGCUGGCGGCGUGCCUAAUACAUGCAAGUUGAACGCUAAAGCUUGGUUCUUGUACUGACUGGAUGAUCAUCGAACGGGUGAGUAACGCGUGGCGAAUCUGCCUUUUAGCGGGGGCCAACAUUUGGAAACGAAUGCUAAUACCUCAUAAACACUUUAACCACAAGUUUUAAGUUUUAAUGAUGCACUUGCCUCACUCAAAUAUGAUCCCGCUUUGUAUUAGCUAGUUGGUGAGGUAAAUGCUCACCAAGGCGAUGAUACAUAGCCGGCCUGAGAGGGGGGUCGGCCAAAGUGGGACUGGGACACGGACCAAACUCCUACGGGAGGCAGCAGGAGGGAAUCGUCGGCAAUGGACGAAAGGCGGACCGAGCAACGCCGCGUGAGUGAAGAAGGUUGUCGGAUCGUAAAACUCUGUUGGUAGAGAAGGACGUUGGUGAGAGUGGAAAGCUCAUCAAGUGACGGUAACUACCCAGAAAGGGACGGCUAACUACGUG
This 497-nucleotide ribosomal RNA is filed under the name uncultured bacterium. RNAcentral's name for it is "partial 16S ribosomal RNA". It matches the Rfam family "Bacterial small subunit ribosomal RNA", at positions 28 to 507 of the family's 1533-position model. The record is from RNAcentral.